GUGGCGAACGGGUGAGUAAUACAUCGGAACGUGCCUAGUAGUGGGGGAUAACUACUCGAAAGAGUGGCUAAUACCGCAUGACAUCUAUGGAUAAAAGCAGGGGACCUUCGGGCCUUGUGCUACUAGAGCGGCCGAUGGCAGAUUAGGUAGUUGGUGGGAUAAAAGCUUACCAAGCCGACGAUCUGUAGCUGGUCUGAGAGGACGAUCAGCCACACUGGGACUGAGACACGGCCCAGACUCCUACGGGAGGCAGCAGUGGGGAAUUUUGGACAAUGGGCGCAAGCCUGAUCCAGCAAUGCCGCGUGCAGGAUGAAUGCCUUCGGGUUGUAAACUGCUUUUGUACGGAACGAAAAGCUCUGGGUUAAUACCCUGGAGUCAUGACGGUACCGUAAGAAUAAGCACCGGCUAACUACGUGCCAGCAGCCGCGGUAAUACGUAGGGUGCGAGCGUUAAUCGGAAUUACUGGGCGUAAAGCGUGCGCAGGCGGUUUUGUAAGACAGUGGUGAAAUCCCCGG
This 515-nucleotide ribosomal RNA is filed under the name uncultured bacterium. RNAcentral's name for it is "bacterial SSU rRNA". It matches the Rfam family "Bacterial small subunit ribosomal RNA", at positions 95 to 606 of the family's 1533-position model. The record is from RNAcentral.